RNAcentral lists this ribosomal RNA (839 nucleotides) under Escherichia coli. RNAcentral's name for it is "partial 23S ribosomal RNA". It matches the Rfam family "Bacterial large subunit ribosomal RNA", at positions 403 to 1243 of the family's 2925-position model. The record is from RNAcentral. Lineage: Bacteria; Pseudomonadati; Pseudomonadota; Gammaproteobacteria; Enterobacterales; Enterobacteriaceae.
GCUCGAUGAGUAGGGCGGGACACGUGGUAUCCUGUCUGAAUAUGGGGGGACCAUCCUCCAAGGCUAAAUACUCCUGACUGACCGAUAGUGAACCAGUACCGUGAGGGAAAGGCGAAAAGAACCCCGGCGAGGGGAGUGAAAAAGAACCUGAAACCGUGUACGUACAAGCAGUGGGAGCCUCUUUAUGGGGUGACUGCGUACCUUUUGUAUAAUGGGUCAGCGACUUAUAUUCUGUAGCAAGGUUAACCGAAUAGGGGAGCCGAAGGGAAACCGAGUCUUAACUGGGCGUUAAGUUGCAGGGUAUAGACCCGAAACCCGGUGAUCUAGCCAUGGGCAGGUUGAAGGUUGGGUAACACUAACUGGAGGACCGAACCGACUAAUGUUGAAAAAUUAGCGGAUGACUUGUGGCUGGGGGUGAAAGGCCAAUCAAACCGGGAGAUAGCUGGUUCUCCCCGAAAGCUAUUUAGGUAGCGCCUCGUGAAUUCAUCUCCGGGGGUAGAGCACUGUUUCGGCAAGGGGGUCAUCCCGACUUACCAACCCGAUGCAAACUGCGAAUACCGGAGAAUGUUAUCACGGGAGACACACGGCGGGUGCUAACGUCCGUCGUGAAGAGGGAAACAACCCAGACCGCCAGCUAAGGUCCCAAAGUCAUGGUUAAGUGGGAAACGAUGUGGGAAGGCCCAGACAGCCAGGAUGUUGGCUUAGAAGCAGCCAUCAUUUAAAGAAAGCGUAAUAGCUCACUGGUCGAGUCGGCCUGCGCGGAAGAUGUAACGGGGCUAAACCAUGCACCGAAGCUGCGGCAGCGACGCUUAUGCGUUGUUGGGUAGGGGAGCGUUCUG